This 254-nucleotide ribosomal RNA is filed under the name uncultured bacterium. RNAcentral's name for it is "partial 16S ribosomal RNA". It matches the Rfam family "Bacterial small subunit ribosomal RNA", at positions 524 to 776 of the family's 1533-position model. The record is from RNAcentral.
UACGUAGGGAGCGAGCGUUGUCCGGAUUUAUUGGGCGUAAAGAGCGCGUAGGCGGCUUGGUAAGCCGGAUGUGAAACCCCCGAGCUCAACUCGGGGCGGCCAUUCGGAACUGCUAUGGCUAGAGUCUGGUAGGGGAACACGGAAUUCCUGGUGUAGCGGUGAAAUGCUUAGAUAUCAGGAGGAACACCAGUGGCGAAGGCGGUGUUCUGGGCCAGUACUGACGCUGAGGCGCGAAAGCGUGGGGAGCGAACAGG